AGAAAAGGGAGUGGAACAUUUUACUUAGGCAGGAAGCACUGAAGAGAAGAAUCUUUUUUUCAGUAGACAUUUGUGGGAAAUAAAAAUUUGUUUAGAAGAAUUUAGGCCAAGAGAUAAAAUGGUCUUCUUUUGACUGAGGAGAGAUAAGAUAGAUUUUAAGCAGACAUCUGAAGUUAAAGGUGAGAGAAGGAAGAUAAACUGGGUGAUUUUGCUCACCUAAGAAGGUACACAGAUCCAAAGAAAAAGAGAUUGGAGAGGUGUCUCCAGCUUCUGAUUUUGAUGACAUCUCCCAGAGAGGACCGUGUUGCCAUCACCAUCCCAGAGUCUGAAAGUGUCCA
This 338-nucleotide long non-coding RNA is filed under the name Homo sapiens (human). Its description in RNAcentral is "HSALNT0252440". The record is from RNAcentral. Lineage: Eukaryota; Metazoa; Chordata; Mammalia; Primates; Hominidae.